Molecule: ribosomal RNA, 195 nt
Filed under: Staphylococcus aureus subsp. aureus CIG1612
Lineage: Bacteria; Bacillati; Bacillota; Bacilli; Caryophanales; Staphylococcaceae
Description: partial 23S ribosomal RNA
Source: RNAcentral
ACUCAUCAACAAUUGACGUUUUAGCAGUAAAAGUGCCAUUGCAUUCUAAGCAUUUAAAACGUUGUUUAGCUAAGUUGAGGUAUGUGUUAUACCCUUGAGUUUUAAGUAAAGUAAUACGAGAAACACGCUUACCAUGUUUAUGAAUUUGUCCUUCAUUUUUAACUCCACAACAAUAACAGGCCGAAGGCUUAUACG